CCUUCGGGUCUAGUGGCGCACGGGUGCGUAACGCGUGGGAAUCUGCCCUUAGGUUCGGAAUAACUCAGGGAAACUUGAGCUAAUACCGGAUAAUGACUUCGGUCCAAAGAUUUAUCGCCUAGGGAUGAGCCCGCGUCGGAUUAGCUAGUUGGUGAGGUAAAGGCUCACCAAGGCGACGAUCCGUAGCUGGUCUGAGAGGAUGAUCAGCCACACUGGGACUGAGACACGGCCCAGACUCCUACGGGAGGCAGCAGUGGGGAAUAUUGGACAAUGGGCGCAAGCCUGAUCCAGCAAUGCCGCGUGAGUGAUGAAGGCCUUAGGGUUGUAAAGCUCUUUUACCCGGGAUGAUAAUGACAGUACCGGGAGAAUAAGCCCCGGCUAACUCCGUGCCAGCAGCGGC
RNAcentral lists this ribosomal RNA (400 nucleotides) under uncultured bacterium. RNAcentral describes it as "bacterial SSU rRNA". It matches the Rfam family "Bacterial small subunit ribosomal RNA", at positions 83 to 518 of the family's 1533-position model. The record is from RNAcentral.